This 237-nucleotide ribosomal RNA is filed under the name uncultured bacterium. Its description in RNAcentral is "partial 16S ribosomal RNA". It matches the Rfam family "Bacterial small subunit ribosomal RNA", at positions 118 to 353 of the family's 1533-position model. The record is from RNAcentral.
UGAGCAAUCUGCCCUUCUCCUCGGAAUAAGCGUUGGAAACGACGUCUAAUGCCGAAUACGACCUCCUUUCGCAUGAUCGGAGGUGGAAAGCUCCGGCGGAGAAGGAUGAGCUCGCGGCCUAUCAGCUAGUUGGUGUGGGUAAUGGCCCACAAGGCGACGACGGGUAGCCGGCCUGAGAGGGUGACCGGCCACACUGGGACUGAGACACGGCCCAGACCUCCCGUACGGGGAGNAGCG